GGAAGGCGGGGACGACGUCAAGUCAUCAUGGCCCUUACGACCAGGGCUACACACGUGCUACAAUGGUAGGUACAGAGGGCAGCUACACAGCGAUGUGAUGCGAAUCUCAAAAAGCCUAUCGUAGUCCAGAUUGGAGUCUGCAACUCGACUCCAUGAAGUAGGAAUCGCUAGUAAUCGCGGAUCAGAAUGCCGCGGUGAAUACGUUCCCGGGUCGACGCGGCCG
RNAcentral lists this ribosomal RNA (223 nucleotides) under uncultured bacterium. RNAcentral's name for it is "partial 16S ribosomal RNA". It matches the Rfam family "Bacterial small subunit ribosomal RNA", at positions 1168 to 1380 of the family's 1533-position model. The record is from RNAcentral.